UACAGAGGGGGCAAGCGUUGUUCGGAAUUACUGGGCGUAAAGGGCGCGUAGGCGGCCUGCUAAGUCGAACGUGGAAUCCCCGGGCUCAACCCGGGAACUGCGUCCGAUACUGGCAGGCUUGAAUCCGGGAGAGGGAUGCGGAAUUCCAGGUGUAGCGGUGAUAUGCGUAGAUAUCGGGAGGAACACCUGUGGCGAAGGCGGCUUUCUGGGCCUUACCUGACGCUGAGACGCGAAAGCGUGGGGAGCGAACCGG
This 253-nucleotide ribosomal RNA is filed under the name uncultured bacterium. RNAcentral's name for it is "partial 16S ribosomal RNA". It matches the Rfam family "Bacterial small subunit ribosomal RNA", at positions 524 to 776 of the family's 1533-position model. The record is from RNAcentral.